This 253-nucleotide ribosomal RNA is filed under the name uncultured bacterium. Its description in RNAcentral is "partial 16S ribosomal RNA". It matches the Rfam family "Bacterial small subunit ribosomal RNA", at positions 524 to 776 of the family's 1533-position model. The record is from RNAcentral.
UACGAGGGGUGCAAGCGUUGCUCGGAAUUAUUGGGCGUAAAGGGUAGGUAGGUGGUCUCAUUUGUCUGGGGUGAAAGCCUUGAGCUUAACUCAAGAAGUGCCCCGGAAACGGUGAGACUGGAGUCCUGGAGAGGGUCGUGGAAUUCCCGGUGUAGCGGUGAAAUGCGUAGAGAUCCGGAGGAACACCAAAGGCGAAGGCAGUGUCCUGGGGAGUACCUGACGCUCAGGUGCGAAAGCCAGGGGAGCGAACGGG